AGAGUUUGAUCCUGGCUCAGAUUGAACGCUGGCGGCAGGCUUAACACAUGCAAGUCGAGCGGGGAAAGGUAGCUUGCUACCUGACCUAGCGGCGGACGGGUGAGUAAUGCUUAGGAAUCUGCCUAUUAGUGGGGGACAACAUUUCGAAAGGAAUGCUAAUACCGCAUACGCCCUACGGGGGAAAGCAGGGGAUCUUCGGACCUUGCGCUAAUAGAUGAGCCUAAGUCAGAUUAGCUAGUUGGUGGGGUAAAGGCCUACCAAGGCGACGAUCUGUAGCGGGUCUGAGAGGAUGAUCCGCCACACUGGGACUGAGACACGGCCCAGACUCCUACGGGAGGCAGCAGUGGGGAAUAUUGGACAAUGGGCGAAAGCCUGAUCCAGCCAUGCCGCGUGUGUGAAGAAGGCCUUUUGGUUGUAAAGCACUUUAAGCGAGGAGGAGGCUACUUAGAUUAAUACUCUAGGAUAGUGGACGUUACUCGCAGAAUAAGCACCGGCUAACUCUGUGCCAGCAGCCGCGGUAAUACAGAGGGUGCGAGCGUUAAUCGGAUUUACUGGGCGUAAAGCGUGCGUAGGCGGCUUUUUAAGUCGGAUGUGAAAUCCCUGAGCUUAACUUAGGAAUUGCAUUCGAUACUGGGGGGCUAGAGUAUGGGAGAGGAUGGUAGAAUUCCAGGUGUAGCGGUGAAAUGCGUAGAGAUCUGGAGG
Molecule: ribosomal RNA, 702 nt
Filed under: uncultured bacterium
Lineage: Bacteria
Description: bacterial SSU rRNA
Rfam family: Bacterial small subunit ribosomal RNA
Source: RNAcentral